Molecule: non-coding RNA, 422 nt
Organism: Prunus avium (sweet cherry)
Lineage: Eukaryota; Viridiplantae; Streptophyta; Magnoliopsida; Rosales; Rosaceae
Source: RefSeq, a predicted model, not a curated record
UGGCAUCUGAACAAUUAGAACCUGUUUAAGGGCCUCCACAAGUUGCGCCAAUGGAUACAGACUGCAGAGACAAAUGCUCCAAGACCAAAUGGUGGAGCUCCCGAAUUUCUUUGGAUUUGUUGUUGUUGGAGAUGAAUGUGAUCGAGCGAAACCAUUUCCUGACCCGUCCGCAUUUGAGGAUUCUGUUUCAGGGGUGAAAGCUGGAGUAGCAGCUGGAAUGCCAGUAGUGGCAAUCACAUGCAGCAAGGUGGGAUGGGAUUACAUUUAGUUGCAGGUCCUGGUGGUUAAAGUAAAUUCACAAUGCAUGUUUCCUGUAAAAUUCGGGAAUUUGAUAAUAAUUAAGAUUCUCGUGAUGAACAGUUGAUUUAGUUCAUGUAUUUUGUUUUAAUUUUAAUUUUUUUUUUAAUACAAAACGACUUGCG